Molecule: ribosomal RNA, 484 nt
Filed under: uncultured bacterium
Lineage: Bacteria
Description: partial 16S ribosomal RNA
Rfam family: Bacterial small subunit ribosomal RNA
Source: RNAcentral
AUUGAACGCUGGCGGCAUGCUUUACACAUGCAAGUCGAACGGCAGCGCGGGCUUCGGCCUGGCGGCGAGUGGCGAACGGGUGAGUAAUGCAUCGGAAUGUGCCCAGUAGUGGGGGAUAGCCCGGCGAAAGCCGGAUUAAUACCGCAUACGACCUGAGGGUGAAAGCGGGGGACCGAAAGGCCUCGCGCUAUUGGAUGGGCCGAUGUCGGAUUAGCUAGUUGGUGGGGUAAAGGCCUACCAAGGCGACGAUCCGUAGCUGGUCUGAGAGGACGACCAGCCACACUGGAACUGAGACACGGCCCAGACUCCUACGGGAGGCAGCAGUGGGGAAUUUUGGACAAUGGGGGCAACCCUGAUCCAGCCAUGCCGCGUGCGGGAAGAAGGCCUUCGGAUUGUAAACCGCUUUUGUUCGGGAAGAAAUCCUCUGGGCUAAUACCCCGGUGGGAUGACGGUACCGGCAGAAUAAGCACCGGCUAACUACGUG